Daphnia carinata is the source of this 1444-nucleotide long non-coding RNA. RefSeq lists it as uncharacterized. NCBI's taxonomy places the organism in Eukaryota, Metazoa, Arthropoda, Branchiopoda, Diplostraca, Daphniidae. The record is from RefSeq and is a predicted model, not a curated record. The transcript has 6 exons.
CAAGAUCAGCUGAAACCUGACUGUACAUGUUUCGUGGGUGCUGUAAGACAAUGGGCAUUUUAAAAAUUACUUUUGAAGGAGAGAGAGAGCUUUAGCGAGUACACGUCCUAGAAAGCAAAUAUGGAUCUCAAGCCAUGCUACAGCAGAAAAAAUCCAAGUUGAAGCCUCGAUCCUCAUGAGGACAAAAUAAAAUUAGAGCACAGUGCCACCACAACAAUAUUAACAGAACUUCAUUACAAGAGUGAAUGUUAGUUGACACAUAAGCUUGUUAAUUGACUCAAAAUGUGUCUCUGAAUGUGAGCAUGUGAUGAGUUGAAUUUUUUCACAAGACUUCGUCGGUUGUGCAUCCAACAACCUUUGAAAUUUUGGUUGAAAUCCGGUUCCGGGUCUGAAUCUCCUACCUUUUUGUAGACCACAUUAAGGUUAUUUGGUUUUGCCAAAUUUGCAAUCUGCUCAUCUUCAAAAUUCAAUGGUAGCUUGUUGUUGAAUGAUGAUCCGAGUAUUCUCCAUCAGCAUUAGAUAUCUUACAUUGGUAAUCCAUUUUUGGUAUUUGGUUUAAUGUUACAUUAUUUACCUUUUCAUCUUCCUGCCCGUCACGCUAAACAUUGUUGACGGAGAAAAUACUGCGGACAACAUUUAGGUCUCGUACGACAGAAACAUUCACGUCUUCUUACUACCGUCAGAUUACCUACCUUGUCUUCCUGUGCGUAAUGGAGAAGAGUCACUGGUCUCAAAAAUAUUGAAACUGUUUUAAUAUCAUUUAUUCUUAUCUGUAACUUUUAUAGUCUGCACGCAUGACUGAUGCACUGGUUUCGAGGUUGUGGGCAAGUGAAAGAGGAUCGCAAAAAAAAUCGCCAUCUCUACUACAGGCAUUUUUGUAUACAUUUAUUUUGUUUUUUUUUGCCAUUGACCAGCCCCAAAGCAUGUUAUAUUAGUAAAUCUCAAAUGAUGGAGUGCCAACAAGAAUUAAAAUGCCUAAUACGCGGGUUUGAUGGCUAUUGCCAUGAAGACUGCCGAAGCUGGCCAUCUUACGGAAACCUAGAAAUGGCGUGACUUCCACAUCAAACAUGUAUUAGAAUUUUAGUGGAGGAGUUUUUUGUUAAACAUGCUCCGCCUACACAAAAAUGUUCUGUUCAGAGCCUCAUACUAUGGUUUUCAUUUCCAAUUUGUAUGUUCUUUCGCAAGCGUGUGCCAGAAGUUUUAUAUGGGUGCCAAACAGUGUACCUAUGAGUCAUGUAAGUCAUAUGAGCAAGAAUUUUUGUGCUUAACGGUUUUUUUUUCUGUUCUUAAAAUAGGUUAAUAGUAACACUGGAUCUGAAAAGGGUCUUGAAUGAGGCGAGACACUGAAUAAAUUGUGAUGACUAACGUAACGGAUGACAUGGAAUUUAUAUACUUUAUUCGGAUUCCCAUACGGUAUUUAAUAUUUAAAAAAUUCAAGUGCAUA